CUGACAAGCCCGGGGAGGACAUGACGUAGGAGGAGUGUAGGGGUCUGUGUGAGGAGGCAGAAGGGAAGUGGAAGGCACUGUCUUUGACAGUGCUGAAGAACUGGAAGAAUUCUCCAUCAACUGGCUCGAGAUCUAUACGCUGCUGGAACAUGUCAAUCGGCGUCACAAGAUAUAAUUUUGGAAUACUUAAAGCAAAGGAUGACAGAAUGGGUGAAAGAGAGAGGUGUUCAUAUGCCUGUCGACUGUGAACGUCACAGCAAUGUGGGACAGGAACAGCCAACACCCCGGAUACCAAUUACGUCGCGUUUAGAGCAUUGCUCUCUCUUCCGAGGCGGUCGUGGGGAUGGCACAGGUGCUGUGGUGUGCCUGCGUGGGGUUGACGCUCGCCUGGCACCCUGCUGCUAUCAACGACCCUGCCCGCUCUCCGACACUUGCCAAACAUGCAUGUCGUACAUGGUACUGUGGUAUUGUUUCAUUGCAGAAAGAACAGCACUUAAUAUUUUUAUUUAAUU
Molecule: long non-coding RNA, 512 nt
Organism: Scylla paramamosain (green mud crab)
Lineage: Eukaryota; Metazoa; Arthropoda; Malacostraca; Decapoda; Portunidae
Exons: 3
Source: RefSeq, a predicted model, not a curated record